CCUGGCGGCCGUAGCGCGGUGGUCCCACCUGACCCCAUGCCGAACUCAGAAGUGAAACGCCGUAGCGCCGAUGGUAGUGUGGGG
This 84-nucleotide ribosomal RNA is filed under the name Escherichia coli. RNAcentral also lists the same sequence under 10 other names. Lineage: Bacteria; Pseudomonadati; Pseudomonadota; Gammaproteobacteria; Enterobacterales; Enterobacteriaceae. The record is from RNAcentral.